This 301-nucleotide long non-coding RNA is filed under the name Helianthus annuus (common sunflower). RNAcentral's name for it is "hypothetical non coding rna". Lineage: Eukaryota; Viridiplantae; Streptophyta; Magnoliopsida; Asterales; Asteraceae. The record is from RNAcentral.
ACAAGCUAGUCCGUUGACCAGGGUUGACGCGGGCCGCGUAACCCCUGUCCUUUCUUUACGCGGGCCGCGUGGGAACCAGUUUCAGCAACUAUAUAUAGAGGCCAUCGGAUUUCAUUUGGAAUUCGCUCACGAACGUUUUCUUCUCUCAAAUCUGAAUAUUAGGCAUAAUACUCGGGUAUUAUACCCCCAUAAUUAGCGAAGCUCUGCCUCGUUAUUAUAACCAGGAAGUCACAAAGGAAAGCCCUAUAAUAGCAAUUCUACAGUAUGGGUAACUUAGUGUGAAGCCAAUAAAAGCCAGCUG